Non-coding RNA from Phthorimaea operculella (potato tuberworm), 80 nucleotides. Lineage: Eukaryota; Metazoa; Arthropoda; Insecta; Lepidoptera; Gelechiidae. The record is from the annotation of a GenBank genome assembly.
GGCGAUGAGGCACAGUGAUAAUGCGACUGCUUGUGACUGCGACGCAGAAAGUUUCGGGUUCAAUUCUCGAUGCGUCACCU